AAAUUGAAGAGUUUGAUCAUGGCUCAGAUUGAACGCUGGCGGCAGGCCUAACACAUGCAAGUCGAACGGUAACAGGAAACAGCUUGCUGUUUCGCUGACGAGUGGCGGACGGGUGAGUAAUGUCUGGGAAACUGCCUGAUGGAGGGGGAUAACUACUGGAAACGGUAGCUAAUACCGCAUAAUGUCGCAAGACUAAAGAGGGGGACCUUCGGGCCUCUUGCCAUCGGAUGUGCCCAGAUGGGAUUAGCUA
Molecule: ribosomal RNA, 250 nt
Filed under: Shigella sonnei
Lineage: Bacteria; Pseudomonadati; Pseudomonadota; Gammaproteobacteria; Enterobacterales; Enterobacteriaceae
Description: partial 16S ribosomal RNA
Rfam family: Bacterial small subunit ribosomal RNA
Source: RNAcentral